Molecule: long non-coding RNA, 577 nt
Organism: Malaya genurostris
Lineage: Eukaryota; Metazoa; Arthropoda; Insecta; Diptera; Culicidae
Exons: 3
Source: RefSeq, a predicted model, not a curated record
AAAAGUUUAAUACACGCUCUUUGAACUACUAAAAAGUAAAACUCAAUUUUAAAUUAUUGCAAAAUGAAUCGUUGGUUGCGUCAGUUAAUGAUAGGUUGCUUCUCAAGACCAGUUUUUAAGAAACAGAACGAAGACCCGAAAUGUAUCCUUACCGAAAAAAAUGGAACAUCGUCAAAAACAUAUGCCAAAAGGAGAGUUUCAAUUUUAGAAAGAUUCAGAUCUUAUGAAGUAAGGUGUAAAAUAAGCUGCGGUUUCAAAGUGAAGGUGAAUUCUGAGUAUACACGUUUCGUCGAAGAUAUUCGUGAGGUACGCCAAGAACUUGAAAGCUAUUGGUUCAAAGAAAGUGACUUAAUGAAAGAACGUGGUACGAGAUGUCCGGAUAAUCGGCCCCGGAUUUGCGUAUGUACUUGCGAAAAGCGACGAUCGAAUCCUCAAGUUAGCAUUGAUUCCGACAACAGUGGUAUUUCGUGGGUUUUUCGUUCUGAAAAUAACGUCCGUCAGGUAACGGAAGAAUCUUAUAGGAGAAUACAACAGUUUCUUGCAUUGUAAGAAUAGAUUUAAAUGUUUUUAGUGCAAA